CAACUCACCUGCUGAAUCAACUAGCCCAGAAAAUGGAUGAGGCUGGAGUGUCGGGCCUGCAGCUGGCCGUCGCCGGCAGUCAGG
Molecule: microRNA precursor, 84 nt
Filed under: Dasypus novemcinctus (nine-banded armadillo)
Lineage: Eukaryota; Metazoa; Chordata; Mammalia; Cingulata; Dasypodidae
Description: miRNA (ENSDNOG00000044100.1)
Source: RNAcentral